RNAcentral lists this long non-coding RNA (1110 nucleotides) under Echeneis naucrates (live sharksucker). RNAcentral describes it as "lncRNA (ENSENLG00000013566.1)". The record is from RNAcentral. Lineage: Eukaryota; Metazoa; Chordata; Actinopteri; Carangiformes; Echeneidae.
AAGGGAUGGAGCUGGUUAGAUGAGCUUUGGCAGCUGGGCACGGAGGUUUUAGGCGACCUCCUCCUCUCCCUCUUCCUCAAACUCGCCCUCCUCGGCAGUGGCGUCCUGGUACUGCUGGUACUCAGAUACCAGGUCGUUCAUGUUGCUCUCAGCCUCUGUGAACUCCAUCUCAUCCAUGCCCUCACCAGUGUACCAGUGGAGGAAGGCCUUACGACGGAACAUGGCGGUGAACUGCUCGGAGAUGCGCUUGAACAGCUCCUGGAUGGCUGUGCUGUUGCCAAUGAAAGUGGCAGCCAUCUUGAGGCCGCGUGGUGGGAUGUCACAGACGGCUGUCUUCACGUUGUUCGGAAUCCAUUCAACAAAGUAGCUGCUGUUCUUGUUCUGCACAUUCAACAUCUGCUCAUCCACCUCCUUCAUCGACAUGCGGCCCCUGAACACUGCGGCCACGGUGAGGUAGCGGCCGUGACGUGGGUCGCAGGCAGCCAUCAUGUUCUUGGCAUCAAACAUUUGCUGGGUGAGCUCAGGCACAGACAGAGAGCGGUACUGCUGGCUGCCCCUGCUGGUGAGGGGGGCAAAGCCUGGCAUGAAGAAGUGGAGACGGGGGAAGGGCACCAUGUUGACAGCCAGUUUACGGAGAUCAGCGUUGAGCUGUCCAGGGAAGCGCAGACAGGUGGUCACGCCGCUCAUUGUGGCAGACACCAAAUGGUUAAGGUCUCCAUAGGUAGGGGUGGUGAGUUUAAGUGUACGGAAGCAGAUAUCAUACAGAGCUUCAUUGUCAAUGCAGUAGGUUUCGUCGGUGUUCUCUACCAGCUGAUGGACAGAGAGGGUGGCGUUGUAGGGCUCCACCACAGUAUCGGACACUUUAGGGGAGGGCACCACACUGAAGGUGUUCAUGAUGCGAUCAGGGUACUCUUCACGAAUUUUGCUGAUGAGCAGGGUGCCCAUGCCAGAGCCAGUGCCACCGCCCAGCGAGUGAGUGAGCUGGAAGCCCUGAAGGCAAUCACAGCUCUCAGCCUCUUUCCUCACUACAUCCAGGACAGAGUCCACCAGCUCGGCCCCCUCAGUGUAGUGGCCUUUGGCCCAGUUGUUUCCAGCUCCACUUUGGCCUGA